AAGGCCUGUAAUAAUCUAAAAUACAUCUUCUGAUUGCAACUCAAACACUUUUAUUAAGCUAAGACCUUC
RNAcentral lists this transfer RNA (69 nucleotides) under Gekko athymus. RNAcentral describes it as "tRNA-Ala". The record is from RNAcentral. Lineage: Eukaryota; Metazoa; Chordata; Lepidosauria; Squamata; Gekkonidae.